RNAcentral lists this ribosomal RNA (253 nucleotides) under uncultured bacterium. RNAcentral describes it as "partial 16S ribosomal RNA". It matches the Rfam family "Bacterial small subunit ribosomal RNA", at positions 524 to 776 of the family's 1533-position model. The record is from RNAcentral.
UACGUAGGGUGCAAGCGUUGUCCGGAAUUAUUGGGCGUAAAGAGCUCGUAGGCGGUUUGUUGCGUCGGCUGUGAAAUCCCGAGGCUCAACCUCGGGUCUGCAGUCGAUACGAGCAAACUAGAGUGUUGCAGGGGAGACUGGAAUUCCUGGUGUAGCGGUAAAAUGCGCAGAUAUCAGGAGGAACACCGGUGGCGAAGGCGGGUCUCUGGGCCGAUACUGACGCUGAGGAGCGAAAGCGUGGGGAGCGAACAGG